RNAcentral lists this ribosomal RNA (253 nucleotides) under uncultured bacterium. Its description in RNAcentral is "partial 16S ribosomal RNA". It matches the Rfam family "Bacterial small subunit ribosomal RNA", at positions 524 to 776 of the family's 1533-position model. The record is from RNAcentral.
UACAGAGGUCCCAAGCGUUGUUCGGAUUUACUGGGCGUAAAGGGUGCGUAGGUGGCAAGACAAGUCUGAUGUGAAAUCUCCGAGCUUAACUCGGAAAUGGCAUUGGAAACUGUUUCGCUAGAGUGUUGGAGGGGGGACUGGAAUACUUGGUGUAGCAGUGAAAUGCGUAGAUAUCAAGUGGAACAUCAGUGGCGAAGGCGAGUCCCUAGACAAUCACUGACACUGAGGCACGAAAGCUAGGGGAGCAAACGGG